CUUCACCCCUCUUCCUUCCCCCAUCAACCCUUCUGCCUGAAGAAGGAGCCACUGGCUCUGAAAGCUUGCCAGUUACAACCUUCUUUUAUGUGUGUUCUGCUGCUGCUGUUUAUUUUGAUUUGGGCACUUGUGGGAUGGUUUUAAGGUUUAGAUUUUUUUCUGGGCAUAGGAUCUAAUUUUAAAGUAUUGCCUGGUAUUCUCCAAUUAGGUAGUCUGGUCUGUGAAUUCAAUCUGACAUUUUUAUUUUGGUUUCCAUUGCCCCACUUUGUGGUAACAGAAGAGGGUAUGGGUUGACUCAAAACUGUAUAUGUUCAUGUACUCUUAACUGACAAGUUCAUUCCUAUGUUUAGUUUAGUUUUGAAGAAAAGACUACAAAUAACACUAUAAUAUCUCUCGAAGUUGUUGAUUCAUCGCUUUAAGUUGUUGAUUCAUCACUUUUGAUAGGUCACAUAUAUAAUUUAAUCAGUGAAGUCCAAUAUUUCACAAAUUCAGAUUUCAGUAUUUUUGCUUUCUCCAUCUGUAGACGUAUGUAUCUGUGUUGAGAACGUCAUGAGUUUCUGCCUUUAAAGCCAAGAAAGUCACUGCCAAUCUCUAAAGCCAAGAAAAUCAUUGCCAAAAUAUUUAGUUUGUACGAAAAUUUCAUGAGUCCAGGACUCAUGACUUUUCAUACUACAUCUUCUCAUUAGUUUUAUUUAAUAUUUUUUAAAUCACUGGACGUAACCUACCGUUUAUAUCCCUGUAUUAAUAACAGUCAGACUUUAUCAGUUCCGACUCAUGAUCUAUUGCUGGCACCAUGUUGUAAGGCAAAUCCUGUGUGGUUGUUGUCUAAUCGUUCAUUAGUAGUGGCAAUUUAAUCAGAAAAGAGAGCAUGGACUCAUAUGAAGAAGGUAUCAGCCGUAACAAGAGGAAAGGCAUACAGCAUUAUGAUAAAUACAAACACAUCUUAAUAAAGAAGGCUAGAUUAUGAGGAGAAGUGUAAAUUAACUACAAAGGACAAAACAUUCCUUCAACUGCGACAUGGAAAAAUUCCAUUUGUAAGCUUCGGUGUUUUGAUGUCAUUGAUGAGAUUGACAGGGUCCAGAUCCUGGAAAUGUUCAAGGAAUUCGGGAGCAAGGAUGCGCAAGAUGGAAGUUAUGGAAAUUAUCUGCAGACACCCAAGGAAGGAUAAUCCAAAAAGCAGGGAGAAGAACUUCAAAUAAAUGUUCAAGUUCAGGGAAAGAGACUACUGCUAUUUAAAAAUGUAUUUAUUAGUAUUCAUAGCCUGAAGAGUGACAGGAGGAUUCAAAGAUUAGGAGACUUGCUGGUUUUAGGAAAAUCUCCUGUAGAUAACAGGGGUAAGAGCAUGGGAAGCAGAGUCAGGACUAUAAAAGGUGAUGUUACUGAUAAAAUAAAGGAACACAUUGAAUCAUUCGAGGUAAAAGUGACUUACUAUACAAACAGAGAUAUUAAGUAUUUGAAGGUUGGUUUGAAUGUAAAGAUCACGCAUUCGCUAUUUCUAGAGACAUUCCCCAAUUUGGCUGUAAAAUAUGGAUUUUUCCUCGAAAAUUGUAGUUAGAGGUCUGGCAGACCUCAAAAAGAUGUUUGUGGUUACUGUGAGGAACUGAAAAUUCAACUAAAAAACACUUACCUUUGUGAUUCAGCUAAAGGAGUGAUUGUUGCUGGGCAAAUGGUUCGUAUUCAAAGGACCAAAAAGUUUUAUAAAAAGAUAAAAGCUGUACAGGAAAAGUGCAAGCAAAACGACGAUGUCGAAGGCAUAUGUGUGGAUUUUAUGCAGAACGCACCACUUCCCUGCAUUGAAUAUAUUGAACUUAUCCUACUUUCUGGCAAUAAAAAGAACUCAUUCAUCAGCUAUCUUGAGGAUAACAACAUUGUUAAGAACUAUGAGGACUGGUGGCCAGAUCUUUUUAAACACAAUUCGUAGAGUUUAGAAACAGUGGGAAAAGACAGUUCAAUGAAAGUCGACUUAAGUGUAUAUCAGACUCUCAACAACAUUAACACAUGGAGAGAAAUGUCCUAUAAACAAAGUUAAGAUAAACGAUAUAAAAAAAAAAAAUAGGAACAAUACAUCCCAGAGGAGUACAAAAACUUUUAUAUUGAUUUAUCCACUUGGCCUA
This is a long non-coding RNA of Schistocerca americana (American grasshopper), 2114 nucleotides long. RefSeq lists it as uncharacterized. The record is from RefSeq and is a predicted model, not a curated record. NCBI's taxonomy places the organism in Eukaryota, Metazoa, Arthropoda, Insecta, Orthoptera, Acrididae. The transcript has 2 exons.